Molecule: ribosomal RNA, 253 nt
Filed under: uncultured bacterium
Lineage: Bacteria
Description: partial 16S ribosomal RNA
Rfam family: Bacterial small subunit ribosomal RNA
Source: RNAcentral
UACGGAGGGGGCUAGCGUUGUUCGGAAUUACUGGGCGUACAGCGCACGUAGGCGGCUUUGUAAGUUAGAGGUGAAAGCCCGGAGCUCAACUCCGGAACUGCCUUUAAGACUGCAUCGCUAGAAUUGUGGAGAGGUGAGUGGAAUUCCGAGUGUAGAGGUGAAAUUCGUAGAUAUUCGGAAGAACACCAGUGGCGAAGGCGACUCACUGGACACAUAUUGACGCUGAGGUGCGAAAGCGUGGGGAGCAAACAGG